UGGCUCAGGAUGAACGCUAGCGACAGGCCUAACACAUGCAAGUCGAGGGGCAGCGCGGGAGAAGCUUGCUUUCCUGGCGGCGACCGGCGCACGGGUGCGUAACAGGUGUGCAAUCUGUCCAUAGUCGGGGGAUAGCCCAGCGAAAGCUGAAUUAAUACUCCAUGUGAAUCGAAGCCGCAUGACUUUGAUUUGAAACGCAAGGACUAUGGGUGAGCACGCUUCUGAUUAGGUAGUUGGUGGGGUAACGGCCCACCAAGCCGACGAUCAGUAGGGUUCUGAGAGGAAGGUCCCCCACAUUGGAACUGAGACACGGUCCAAACUCCUACGGGAGGCAGCAGUGAGGAAUAUUGGUCAAUGGGCGAGAGCCUGAACCAGCCAAGUCGCGUGAAAGGAUGAAGGUUCUAUGGAUUGUAAACUUCUUUUGUCCGAGGGUAAAAAAGGCUACGUGUAGCUUCUUGCAAGUAUCGGACGAAUAAGCAUCGGCUAACUCCGUGCCAGCCGCUGC
Molecule: ribosomal RNA, 505 nt
Filed under: uncultured bacterium
Lineage: Bacteria
Description: bacterial SSU rRNA
Rfam family: Bacterial small subunit ribosomal RNA
Source: RNAcentral